GAUGAAGAACGUAGCGAAAUGCGAUACGUAAUGUGAAUUGCAGAAUUCAGUGAAUCAUCGAAUCUUUGAACGCAUAUUGCGCUCUUUGGUAUUCCGAAGAGCAUGCUUGUUUGAGUAUCAGUAAACACCUCAAAGACUUCAAUUUGUUUUGAAUGGCUUUGGACUUGAGCAAUCCCAACACCAGUCUUUACGAUCGGUGGAGGGUUGCUUGAAAUGCAGGUGCAGCUGGACAUUCUCCUGAGCUAAAAGCAUAUUUAUUUAGUCCCGUCAAACGGAUUAUUACUUUUGCUGCAGCUAACAUAAAGGGAGUUUGACCGUAUUGGCUGACUGAUGCAGGAUUUCACAAGGGUCGGCAACGAUUCUUGUAAAACUCGAUCUCAAAUCAAGUAAGACUACCCGCUGAACUUAAGCAUAUCAAAAGCGGAGGA
RNAcentral lists this unclassified non-coding RNA (428 nucleotides) under soil metagenome. RNAcentral describes it as "partial contains 5.8S ribosomal RNA, internal transcribed spacer 2, and large subunit ribosomal RNA". The stretch from base 1 to 120 matches the Rfam family "5.8S ribosomal RNA", at positions 35 to 154 of the family's 154-position model. The record is from RNAcentral.